Molecule: ribosomal RNA, 433 nt
Filed under: uncultured bacterium
Lineage: Bacteria
Description: partial 16S ribosomal RNA
Rfam family: Bacterial small subunit ribosomal RNA
Source: RNAcentral
AACGAACGCUGGCGGCAUGCCUAACACAUGCAAGUCGAACGAGACCUCCGGGUCUAGUGUCGCACGGGUGCGUAACGCGUGGGAACCUGCCCUUAGGUUCGGAAUAACUCCCCGAAAGGGGUGCUAAUACCGGAUAAUGUCUUCGGACCAAAGAUUUAUCGCCUUUGGAUGGGCCCGCGUUGGAUUAGCUAGUUGGUAGGGUAAAAGCCUACCAAGGCGACGAUCCAUAGCUGGUCUGAGAGGAUGAUCAGUCACACUGGGACUGAGACACGGCCCAGACUCCUACGGGAGGCAGCAGUGGGGAAUAUUGGACAAUGGGCGAAAGCCUGAUCCAGCAAUGCCGCGUGAGUGAUGAAGGCCUUAGGGUUGUAAAGCUCUUUUACCCGGGAUGAUAAUGACAGUACCGGGAGAAUAAGCUCCGGCUAACUCCGUG